Molecule: RNA transcript, 2703 nt
Organism: Vigna angularis (adzuki bean)
Lineage: Eukaryota; Viridiplantae; Streptophyta; Magnoliopsida; Fabales; Fabaceae
Gene name: zinc finger BED domain-containing protein RICESLEEPER 2
Exons: 3
Source: RefSeq, a predicted model, not a curated record
CCUUUUAACUUUCCACAAUAGCAGAUGAAUAGGACGCUUCUGCCUCAGUGUGACCACGUUGCUUUCUCUUCUUCGUUUUCCUUCUUCUUCCCUCUUUCACCUUCCAAUUAGGGUUUUCUUCCAAACCCUUCUUCAUUCUUCUUACGCACUACACCGAAUCCCACCCAUUAUCCAACGCGGUUCAUGCGAUGGACAUGUCUGAUGCUGUCAUUGUCAAAUCUAGUAGGUUAAAAUCGGUGGUGUGGAAUGAUUUUGAUAGGAUUAAAAAAGGCGACACCUGUGUGGCUGUUUGUAGGCAUUGCAAAAAGAAACUUAGUGGUUCAAGUACCAGUGGAACAUCACAUUUAAGGAACCAUUUGAUUCGGUGUCAGAGAAGGUCUAGCCAUGGCAUAGCACAGUACAUUUCUACAAGAGAAAAGAGAAAGGAAGGAACCCUAGCAAUUGCAAAUUUCAAUAUAGAUCAAGAUGCAAACAAAGAUGACAAUACCCUUAGUCUUGUCAAUAUUAAAUUUGAGCAGACACAGUUGAAAGAUGACUCUGUCAACCCUGGGACUAGUAACUUUGAUCAAAGACGGAGUCGAUUUGACCUUGCUCGGAUGAUUAUUCUACAUGGAUAUCCAUUGGCUAUGGUUGAGCAUGUUGGUUUCAGAGCAUUUGUAAAAAAUCUGCAGCCAUUGUUUGAGCUUGUGUCAUUGAAUAGGGUUGAGGCUGAUUGUAUUGAGAUUUAUGAGAGAGAGAAAAAAAAAGUUAAUGAGAUGUUGGAUAAGUUGCCUGGGAAAAUCAGUCUUAGUGCUGAUGUGUGGAAUGCUGUGGGGGAUGCAGAGUAUUUGUGUUUGACAUCAAAUUACAUCGAUGAAUCCUGGCAGUUAAGAAGGAGGAUAUUAAAUUUUAUAAGGAUUGAUCCUUCUCAUACGGAAGACAUGGUUUCAGAAGCUAUCAUGAGUUGCCUAAUGUAUUGGGAUAUAGACCGUAAACUAUUUUCUAUGAUACUGGAUAGUUGCUCUACCUGUGAUAACAUUGCCGUUAGAAUUGGUGAUAGACUUCUGCAAAACAGGUUUCUUUAUUGUAAUGGGCAAUUAUUUGAUAUACGAUGUGCUGCAAAUGUUAUUAAUGCUAUGGUUCAGCAUGCUCUGGGAGCUGUAAGUGAAAUAGUCAUUAAGAUUCGUGAAACUAUUGGUUACAUUAAAAGUUCACAAAUUAUACUGGCAAAGUUCAAUGAGAUGGCUAAAGAAGUUGGGAUCCUGAGUCAAAAGGGCUUAUGUCUAGAUAAUGCAUCACAAUGGAAUUCCACAUACUCAAUGCUUGAAGUUGCCUUGGAAUUCAAGGAUGUUUUAAUUCUCUUGCAAGAAAAUGACACUGCCUACAAAGUCUGUUUAUCUGAUGUAGAGUGGGAGAGAAUCACAGCAGUUACCAGCUACUUGAAGCUUUUUGUUGAGGUUAUAAAUGUUUUCACUAAGAAUAAGUAUCCAACUGCAAACAUAUAUUUCCCUGAGCUCUGUGAUGUUAAGCUGCAUUUGAUUGAAUGGUGCAAGAAUUCAGAUGAGUAUAUCAGUUCUUUGGCGUCAAGAUUGAGAAGCAAGUUUGAUGAGUACUGGGAGAAAUGUAGUUUAGGGUUGGCAGUUGCUGCGAUGUUAGACCCUCGAUUCAAGAUGAAGUUGGUAGAUUAUUAUUAUCCACAAAUUUAUGGCAGCAUGUCUGGAAGUCGAAUUGAAGAGGUCUUUGAUGGUGUGAAAGCUCUAUACAAUGAACAUUCGAUAGGCUCCCCAUUAGCAUCUCACGAUCAAGGUCUGGCCUGGCAAGUUGGCAAUGGCCCACUUCUCUUACAAGGUUCUGCAAAGGAUUCAAGGGAUCGAUUGAUGGGGUUUGAUAAAUUUCUCCAUGAAACUUCACAGGGUGAAGGUACAAAAUCAGAUCUAGACAAGUAUUUGGAAGAACCCCUUUUUCCACGCAAUGUUGAUUUCAACAUACUGAACUGGUGGAGAGUUCACACCCCCAGAUAUCCUGUCUUAUCCAUGAUGGCACGCAAUGUUUUAGGAAUUCCAAUGGCAAAGGUUGCGCCUGAACUGGCCUUUAAUCACAGUGGAAGGGUCCUUGAUCGUGAUUGGAGCUCACUUAAUCCUGCUACUGUCCAAGCUUUGGUGUGUUCACAAGAUUGGAUAAGGAGUGAACUGGAAAAUUAGAUUGCUUUUUCCCUGCAUUCUAAUUGUACAUGCCAAUUCUCCCCAUAGAAAUAUUCCCAUAACAGAUACAAAUUCAUCAACAUUUUCCAAGUCCAACUUUACACGGACACAUUUUCGAUCUUUUGCUAGAUUGAACAAACCAACCCUUUUGCACGUUCCACCUUCGCGUUCACCAUCCAAAUCGAAGUCGCAUCUGUAGCCUCCACUGACGCACCCCAAAAUGUGAGCCAUCGUGGGCCCGAGAGCCACCACUGGUCUCCUCCGACAAGUUCCGUUCGUCGUUGCUGCCUUGAAGAUGCCAUCACUGGAGAUACUGUCACUGUUCAGCACGCCCAAUAAGAGAUGGGUUGCCCUCAAUGCUGCCGCACGACUCGCCACCCCUUCCUCUGUUUACUUUUUGCCUUUGUGUUGUGAGGAAGAUGGUGAUGACAGAAUAAGCACUGAAAUUGAAUUGCAAAAGCACAUCUUUAAGUUGAAUUGAUUGGGUUAAACAGUUUAAUAUUAAAAAAAUUAAAAGUACUUU